This is a long non-coding RNA of Zerene cesonia (dogface butterfly), 1200 nucleotides long. RefSeq lists it as uncharacterized. Lineage: Eukaryota; Metazoa; Arthropoda; Insecta; Lepidoptera; Pieridae. The record is from RefSeq and is a predicted model, not a curated record. The transcript has 3 exons.
UUUAAUUCUAUACAUUACAGAUGAUCUAGGAGAAGCGUGGGCGCAGGGGGUGGCGGCGAGAGGCGGGAGGGUUGUUCGUGUCACCUACCCAAGAACUGCAAACAAUGAUAAGGAGCUUACUGUGGUCCGUGGGGAAUAUCUUGAGGUGCUAGACGAUUCUCGCAAGUGGUGGAAGGCCAGGAACAGGCGAGGUGUCACUGCGCACGUGCCGCAUACGAUUGUGGCGCCGGCUAUCACCCCGCCCUCCUCACCGCACCUCUACCCGAACCCUAUUUAUACGCAUUAUCAGGAAGGCGGCGGACGAGGCUCCGGCGGCAGCAGCCCCACGGCCCCCGCGGGUAGGAACGCGGCCGGCGCUAGCGCCGAUUGGGUUCGCAAUGAAAGAAUCGGAAAAAAGGGCGAGUUCCGAUACUUUUAAACGCUGCAUUCGAACAAAACACGUUCACGCUUAGUCAUAAUUUAUUUAUUAUAAUACAUAUCUACGUAUUAAUUAUACGUACCUAUGCGUGUGACAAAUGUAGGUUGCAUUUAAUAUUUUGUAACACAUUUAUUAGAGUACACAGCUGUAAAUGGUACCUAACGUUGAGCCAGUUUGGUGUCUAUGAUUUGAAUAUCUACGCAAUGCAGUGGAGAGUAUCGGAAGUCGCUUAUUGGUGUUGUGGCGUCAGGGUCGAUAGUUUCUUAGACUCUAAUGUAUUGUUAAGACGUGUACGUGUUUCGUCCAAUUGAUUGGCAAUAACCUUGAGAGGACCUUCGGUGUGUGUUGCUGUAAACCAGUGUAAACUUGUGUGCGCUUGGUAAAUGUUCUAUUUUCUACAUGAAUACGUAAGUUAUCGUUCAUUAUUGAAUCCCGUGUCUAUUUGAUGAACUAAAUAGGUAAAAUUCAGUUUUAUUUAUACAGAGUCUAUUUUUAUAUAAAUAUACUAUUUAUUACAAACUCUGGGUUAAACAGAGGGACAGUUACACUUUGUAAGUUUGUUUAUCGAUAGGCGCGCUCGUGCUAAAUUUUUAUGCUUAAUAGAUAUUGAAUUGAAUUGUUCUAUCAUUUGGCAGCUAUUUCUUUAACGAAUUUGUACAUAAGACUAACCAAAUUUCCACAAAUCAAAUUAUUAAAAUAUAUCAUGAGACCUCGCGGCGCGCUUAUACAAUUUACUGUAAUAAUGAGUUUUAACAUUUAUAAUUAAACUCAGUACUACCAAA